This is a non-coding RNA of Podarcis muralis (Common wall lizard), 1118 nucleotides long. Lineage: Eukaryota; Metazoa; Chordata; Lepidosauria; Squamata; Lacertidae. The record is from RefSeq and is a predicted model, not a curated record.
GAGAGAGAGAGAGAGAGAGAGAGACCCUGUAUGUUGCCUUGAGCUCCUGGGAGGAAUGGCCGAACAAGAGAACUCUGCAUUGUACAAAAUUAAUGGAAGUUUCUCAGAUGGGGCUGGAACUCUUGACGGGCCCUGCUUCAGCGCCGAAAUCCGUGCAGUGGAAAUGCUAAUUAUCAACUGGCGGUCAUUAAUGCAAGCAUUUCCCCUCAUUUCGAACAUGUUCUUUUGAUUUUGCAUUAAUGGGCACCUUCUGUUGCGUCACACGGGCGGGGAGAAGAAGCGGAGUAGGGAAGAAGAAGCCCCCCUCCUCUGCGUUUCUGAGUAAGGGGGGCAAUUGCGAGUUGUCCCUUAAGUGCCCAUUCCUGGAACGAGGAACUUGGAGGCCGGUUCCUUGGGCAGCGCGCAAGCUUCCCGCACGCGACGCGCUGCAAAACUGCUGCGCCCCCGCCUCCCCCCCCCCCCGCCGGGAAGCCCGCGUGCCCGGAGCUGGAGCUGCGCGUUGCUCUGGCUCGGAAGAGCUCCGCACUUCCCAAAUCUUACUCUUCAUUUGGUUCCUUGUCUUAUUUUUUUAAUUACUCGAUUUUUUGGGGGGGGGCUUUUUUCUCCCACCCUUCGCUGCAAAAAGAAAUCGAGAGUUUUGGUGGGGGUUUACCCCCAUUAAACAGCCAAAGAGAGGCAUUCACAGCUUUGCAAACUGAGUAGAUUUCUUUCUCCAUGCUCAAACCUUUCGGGGUUCUCCAGCAAGAAAAGAUUCGGCUGCUUUGUAGCAAAGUGCAAUGAAGAGCCAAUUCCAACAUUCAGCUUCAUCGGAUGGCUGUGGGUUCUAAUAUUACAAAGAGGGUGAGAGAGAGAGAUGCUCUGUGUCCACUUUCUUUAUCCUCUGAAUGGUCUUCUUUCUGGUCUUCUUACCCCAGAUGUUUACUUGGAAGAAGGGUCCUCUUUCUUCACUGAUACAUAUUCCACUUAAUGUGAAGAUAUCACAGGCUUUCUCUGGCGGUUUAAUUAUAGACUGGCAGCCGCUCUUCAUGGCUAUACUUCGUUGGGGAGCUGACAGUCUGUUAGCAGGAAGAACCUCUGAUAUGAAUUUGAGUCAGCACGCUUCCAAGAACUGCUUUCAA